This 208-nucleotide long non-coding RNA is filed under the name Physcomitrium patens. RNAcentral's name for it is "long non-coding RNA (PPAT_LNC002333)". Lineage: Eukaryota; Viridiplantae; Streptophyta; Bryopsida; Funariales; Funariaceae. The record is from RNAcentral.
AGAAGAAGUUUUUAUGAGAUUUUGAAGGAUCAGAGAGCUAGCUUCAUGCUUCGAGAAGGGAAAAAAAGACAGAGAAUUGGGGUUUUUUUCUUCAUAGGAUUUUGGAAAGACUGAGGCAAUCGUUGCUGAAGUCAGUGUUAUAAUGGUGAAUCGGGAUUUUUAAUGAAGUGGGUUUGAUUACUCUUGACUGUUUUGUGAAAUCGAGUUA